This 467-nucleotide ribosomal RNA is filed under the name uncultured bacterium. RNAcentral's name for it is "partial 16S ribosomal RNA". It matches the Rfam family "Bacterial small subunit ribosomal RNA", at positions 28 to 507 of the family's 1533-position model. The record is from RNAcentral.
GACGAACGCUGGCGGCGUGCUUAACACAUGCAAGUCGAACGGAAAGGCCCUGCUUUUGUGGGGUGCUCGAGUGGCGAACGGGUGAGUAACACGUGAGUAACCUGCCCUUGACUUUGGGAUAACUUCAGGAAACUGGGGCUAAUACCGGAUAGGAGCUCCUGCUGCAUGGUGGGGGUUGGAAAGUUUCGGCGGUUGGGGAUGGACUCGCGGCUUAUCAGCUUGUUGGUGGGGUAGUGGCUUACCAAGGCUUUGACGGGUAGCCGGCCUGGGAGGGUGACCGGCACCAUGGGACCUGAGAUCGGGCCCGAACUCUUACGGGGGGCAGCGGUGGGGAUAAUUGCACAUUGGGCGGAGCCCGAAUGCAGAAACGCCGCUUGGGGAAUGCCGGCUUUGGGGUUGUAACCGCUUUCGCCUGUGACGAAGCGUGAGUGACGGUAAUGGGUAAAGAAGCACCGGCUAACUACGUG